This is a long non-coding RNA of Varanus komodoensis (Komodo dragon), 2176 nucleotides long. RefSeq lists it as uncharacterized. The record is from RefSeq and is a predicted model, not a curated record. The transcript has 3 exons. Lineage: Eukaryota; Metazoa; Chordata; Lepidosauria; Squamata; Varanidae.
ACAAUUCUUGCUUGAAACCUUGGACAGCAUCUGCCAGUUUGUGUUGACAGUACUGGACUAGAUGUACUGAUCAUCUGAUUCGUUAAUAAUUCAACUUCUGAUGUAAACCAUCCGCAGCCUUUUCUUUCUCCCUUAGGGGAGACCUACAGUGGGCACCCAUGAACUGCUGAAGGUGUUGUGCACAGAAGACUCGCCCUUCAGAUGGAGCCAGUCAGGCAGCUGCUGAGGAGUGCGGUUGGGGCACUUCGUCAAUCGGUGCCCAGGCGUGCAGCCCGGCGCAUAGCAUGAGACCUCCCUCACCGUGCCUUUUCAAGAGAUUCUCCAGCUUAAAAGGCCACACGGAGCUCCUAAAUUGCUACAGGAAUUGCUGGUGCCAGCAACAGCAGUUCGCAAUAUAUUCAAGGCACAACCCAGGUGUAACCAGUUUAUUGCUGGGAGAGUGACUACAUCCAUGUAUCUUCUACCUGGCACAGGCUUCUCUAAAACAAGCAAUAAGGAGAUGCUGGGUGAAGGCAUAUUAGUUUACUACCCUGCCCUCCAGUUAGGGAGCCUGUGAACUUCCAUUUGGCUUUCAACAGGGCUGUUAUUUUCCCCAGCAUGAGGAUGCCGUGAAUGCUAAAAACCUACCUAUCCAAUGUUUGUUUAUCAUGUUUCUAUUAAAGAGAGGAAAAGGUUAUGCUCAUAAACAGAAGAUUGUCUGCAAAGGUGCCUAUGUGCUAAUGAGGUCAGUAAUCAAUAGGCUUUCAUGGCAAUUGCUUAUGCCUUUUAACACUAUUGAAAGACUUUGUCUGUGGAAUUUCCAGGUUUGGGACAUCUGUUAAAAACACAAGAGCUCCACCAGAAAAAAAAAUGUUGACAACCAUCCCUGACUGCCAGGUGCAACCAAGUCUUUUCUUUCCUGCAACAGAGUCUCCCCUUCCAUUCUCCCCAGACACAUGUUAAUAUGAAGAAUAUUCUAGUAUGGAAAAUAUGAUUAUUGUAGACUGGGAAACUAUUGCAGAAGACAUUGUAGGGAAGACCUAGACUGUGACAGCAACUUGACUUAUCACUUGCUUAUGUAAGAUGCACUGAAAAAUUCUGCUUUCCUAAUUUGUCUGUAACAGUGGUAGAUGGGAGAGUCUGGAGGUAUGUUUCCUUUACCAGAAAAAUCAAGGAUUUAAAGAAAUGUGACCAAUUUCAUUGACAAUGCUGGUGAAACUACACAAUUAGAGAACAUUUAUUAGAGAACAUUUAUUUAGAAUCUACACAAUUAGAACACUUAACAAAUAUAUACCCCACCUUUCCUAGCAGUUUGAAGGCACUAACAAAAAAUACAUAUAUGCAAAAGGUGGGUUAAACUUAACAAUGAUAUUAAUGUUAGACUAUUUAAAGUAUUCUGCCAGGCUGUUCUACUUUCCCCUGUUCAAAGAUCUAUACUAGAAUAAAUUCAAAAAGUUUCCUGAUGCAUUUCUCCAUUACACAUUAGCUUGUACUUUACCAACUAUACAAUGUUGCCUAAUCCAUAAACCAGUUAAACCGGAGUACUUUUAUUGGAGCCCAACCAACUUCCAAGAGAAUGAAGUCAGACAAUGCAAAUAUGUGACAUAUAAAAGACAUUGUGCCAUUUUAUCACUCCCAGUGUCAUGUUAGAAACUCUACAGAGUAUGGAAGAGUUGCUCCUUGAUUUGCCUACAUUCAUAAUGCAUUUGACUGCUUGAUCAGUCAGUAUAUAGUCUGCAUCAGGGGUUUUGUACUUCUUCCAGUUUAAGGGCCAAAUUCAAAUUUGGAGAAGUUCCUGAGGUUGAGAUUGCAUCCCAGUGGUGGAUGGGGCCAAAGAGAUAGAGCUAAAAUACUAAAAAAAAUCAGCCUUUUUUAGUUUCAAGCUGUUAUUGUCAGCAGCUAGGCCUUAGGAGAGCCAUUUCAGUCUUUUAAAAUGGGGAAAAGCUGUGUAAAAGCCAAGUGAUAGCUGUCAUAUGAAAGGAGUGUUGCCAUUGGCAUAAUCUUGGAGGGUCAGAUUUGGCCUGGGAACCCAACGUUCAGCAACCUCUGGUCUACAUCAAUACCAUAGCUUGUUGUCUGCAUGAUUCUGGCUUGUUUGGGAAGAGGCAAGUCAGAGCUCCAAGUUUGGACAAAGCAUCCAUGAUUCAUUUAGCCACUCCUCCUUAGAAACUAUCAAGUUGGAGUGAUCAGACUCUGU